ACGCUCGACACCUACGGAGGCAGCAGUUGGGAAUAUUGGACAAUGGAGGAAACUCUGAUCCAGUGACGCCGCGUGAAGGAAGAAGGUCUUCGGAUUGUAAACUUAUUUUGUCAGGGAAGAAAAAAUGACUGUACCUGAAGAAAAAGCACCGGCUAACUACGUACCAGCAGCCGCGGUAAUCUGAGCGGGCUGGCAAGGC
Molecule: ribosomal RNA, 199 nt
Filed under: uncultured bacterium
Lineage: Bacteria
Description: partial 16S ribosomal RNA
Rfam family: Bacterial small subunit ribosomal RNA
Source: RNAcentral